UUCCACCGCCCCCUUCCAGCCUAAGCUAGAGCCAGUGGGCCUCCGGCCUAGCAGAGCUUUCGCCAUGGCGCUCAGCGAUGCUGACGUGCAAAAGCAGAUUAAGCAUAUGAUGGCUUUUAUUGAACAAGAAGCCAAUGAGAAAGCAGAGGAAAUAGAUGCAAAGGCAGAGGAAGAGUCCAACGUUGAGAAAGGUCGUCUUGUGCAAACCCAAAAGUCUUUGGGUUUGCACAAUCAGUCUUCUGAUUGAGCAGCAGAAGAAAAUUCAGAUGUCUAAUUUGAUGAAUCAAGCAAGGCUCAAAGUCCUCAGAGCAAGAGAUGACCUUAUUACAGACCUUCUAAAUGAAGCAAAACAGAGACUCAGCAAAGUGGUAAAAGAUACAACCAGGUACCAGGUGCUGCUGGAUGGACUGGUCCUUCAGGGUUUGUACCAAUUGUUAGAGCCCCGAAUGAUUGUUCGUUGCAGGAAGCAGGAUUUCCCUCUGGUAAAGGCUGCAGUGCAAAAAGCAAUUCCUAUGUACAAAAUUGCCACCAAAAAAGAUGUUGAUGUCCAAAUUGAUCAGGAGGCCUACCUGCCUGAGGAAAUAGCUGGUGGAGUUGAGAUCUAUAAUGGGGAUCGUAAAAUAAAAGUUUCCAAUACCCUAGAAAGCCGGCUGGAUCUCAUAGCCCAGCAGAUGAUGCCAGAAGUACGGGGAGCCUUAUUUGGUGCAAAUGCCAAUAGGACGUUUUUGGACUAAACCUUUGGGCAAGGUGGAGUUCAUCCAUUGCUCUCCUGCUGUCAGGCAGAAGUUUCUGAUAUUUGAAGAAACAAGAUAUCUGUGUGGCUUCCUCUUCGCUCUUCUAAUAUUCUGUAUUUAUCAGUGGAUCCUCUCUGUAGCUAAUGCCCUUGGCCUAAUUGUUAACAUGAGAGAAAGUUUCACUUACUAUGAUCAGGAAACCUUCUUAGCUUAUCUGAAAGUAGCACAACUUUCAUUUGCUUCUGUAGCAUGAAGGUGAGGGUAUCAGAUGGUGGUUACUGGAGCUUCCCUGAGUCUCUGCUCUUCCUCUCGUCUUCUGCUGUCAGUUCUCGAGUCUAGAGGGUGAUGUGUAUGGUGUUCUCUGACAUUCAGUCUCUGCUCUUUAGGCUUCAGAUGCAUGGGGGGCAUGCAUUCCUGCCAGCACUGGUAGCUUCACUGUUCACCUGUUUGGGCCUAGAAGCGUUUCUCAUCUGUAAAUGUGAUUUUGAAUCUAAGCCAUGAAUCGGUCUUAUUUAUUAAAACA
RNA transcript from Neomonachus schauinslandi (Hawaiian monk seal), 1257 nucleotides. It is a transcript of the gene named V-type proton ATPase subunit E 1-like, with no coding region annotated. The record is from RefSeq and is a predicted model, not a curated record. NCBI's taxonomy places the organism in Eukaryota, Metazoa, Chordata, Mammalia, Carnivora, Phocidae. The transcript has a single exon.